UCCAUUGGGCUACCCGCAGAGAAUUCUGACAUGAACCGCCAGCCAUAUAUUGUACAGAAUCAUGUUCCGCCAACUCUUUAUAACUGAUAGAAUAAAUAAACAAACUUCUUUAUUGGAAACAAUUGUGGAAUUUUGCAAUACCAAUCGCGUCAUCUGGUUUCAAACCAUAUUUCUGAAGAAAUGCAUCAUCUACAGUAGCAAUGACGUCCAACAACGGGUUUCCACAACCUAGAAGAAGACCUUCUCUGAAAUCGGGCAAAUAUUCGGGGAAUUCGAUUAAAAAUGGGGAAAUUUGUUGAUAUUUCUUUUUAAACAACUAUUUUCGUAGUUAUUAGCAAAAGUCAUGCAAGAUAAACGAUUUUAUAUAUAAAACUAAAAUAUCCUUAAAAAAUUCUGUUUGUGCUAUUUUUUUGUGGAAUUGUGAAAUCUGGACGGGAAUGAUGUUGAUUUUCAAAGAAAUUGCCCAGAUUCCCCCACAUCCGAGAGCCUUAGCUAUUCCUAAGUUCAAUCAAAUUUUUUUGUUCUUAAUUUUUAUGCAAAAUCCUUACAUUUAAUAAUUUUUGAAUAACAACCUUACAGUCUGGUCGAAUAACUCAGUGUAAUAAUAAUAUCAGUGAUAAAGAUCACCAAUCAAAAAUGAUUUUGAUACCUUUAGUCAUACAUUAAUUUUAUUUGUCAUAAUAAAUAAUAAUAAAUGAAUUGAUAUCGUUUU
Long non-coding RNA from Sitodiplosis mosellana (orange wheat blossom midge), 712 nucleotides. RefSeq lists it as uncharacterized. The transcript has 2 exons. The record is from RefSeq and is a predicted model, not a curated record. NCBI's taxonomy places the organism in Eukaryota, Metazoa, Arthropoda, Insecta, Diptera, Cecidomyiidae.